ACUCAAAGGAAUAGACGGGGACCCGCACAAGCGGUGGAUGAUGUGGUUUAAUUCGAUGCAACGCGAAAAACCUUACCUACCCUUGACAUGCCAGGAACUUGCCAGAGAUGGCUUGGUGCCCGAAAGGGAGCCUGGACACAGGUGCUGCAUGGCCGUCGUCAGCUCGUGUCGUGAGAUGUUGGGUUAAGUCCCGCAACGAGCGCAACCCUUAUCGAUAGUUGCUACGCAAGGGCACUCUAUCGAGACUGCCGGUGACAAACCGGAGGAAGGUGGGGAUGACGUCAGGUCAUCAUGGCCCUUAUGGGUAGGGCUACACACGUCAUACAAUGGCCGGGACAGAGGGUUGCCAACCCGCGAGGGGGAGCCAAUCUCAGAAACCCGGUCGUAGUCCGGAUCGCAGUCUGCAACUCGACUGCGUGAAGUCGGAAUCGCUAGUAAUCGCGGAUCAGCUUGCCGCGGUGAAUACGUUCCCGGGUCUUGCACACACCGCCCGU
RNAcentral lists this ribosomal RNA (494 nucleotides) under uncultured bacterium. Its description in RNAcentral is "partial 16S ribosomal RNA". It matches the Rfam family "Bacterial small subunit ribosomal RNA", at positions 899 to 1397 of the family's 1533-position model. The record is from RNAcentral.